CAGGGCCGGGGAUUUAGCUCAGUGGUUCUGCUGCCUUGCAAGCACAAGGACCCAAGUUCAAUCCCCGGUACCAGAAAAAAAAAGAGAAAGAAAGUAAUCUGGUAGCCCUGAACUCCCUUAGUUUCUUCAUCUGCUGCAUUAAAUCCAGUUCCUGCCUGAGGUGAUCCCCUAACUUGCUUCCUAAAAUAUAUUUGGACCUCCUCAGAAUCUCACAGUCCUCUUUUCUCUGCCUCUUCUAGCCCUCACCUGUUUAGCCCUACUUAUGGUAGGCUCCACUGAGGGUCAGGCAAUAUUUUCUGCUGGAAGUUAUUUGCUAUGACAUUUGAAUGUAAUCUAAAAUGUUCACCUGACCUGCAGUGCCUCCCAUAGUGUAGAUUUUACUGUCCAAAUUUAUAGCAAACCAUUUUCCAUUCUCCUAUAGGCCUUCAGCUCCAGGCUGAUCUUUGUUUCUUGGAUAAUUAGUUCACUAUCAAGAGACAGAGGGCUGGGGAUUUAGCUCAGUGGUUUGGUGCCUGCCUUACAAGCACAAGGACCUGAGUUCAAUCCCUGCUACCCCCCUCAAAACAGACAGAGACCAACACUAAAAUAGAAACGUAAGUAGUUAAAUAGGAAAUGUUGGCUAAUUAUUAAAAGUGACAAAGACUCAGAUCCACAAGUUGCAGGUACAAAAAAAAAAAAAAGCUACUUUAUAGAAAGAGGGCUUAGAAUAGCAUCCUAUCCCCUAUUUAUUUAUUUAUUUAUUUAUUUAUUUAUUUAUUUAUUUAUGUGGUACCAGGGAUCAAACCCAGGACAUUGUACCUGCAAGUCAGGCACAGUGCCACUAAGCUAAAUUCCCAGCCCCCCCU
This 845-nucleotide long non-coding RNA is filed under the name Fukomys damarensis (Damara mole-rat). RNAcentral describes it as "lncRNA (ENSFDAG00000032135.1)". Lineage: Eukaryota; Metazoa; Chordata; Mammalia; Rodentia; Bathyergidae. The record is from RNAcentral.